UACGAAGGGGGCUAGCGUUGCUCGGAAUCACUGGGCGUAAAGCGCACGUAGGCGGAUUGCUAAGUCAGGGGUGAAAUCCUGGAGCUCAACUCCAGAACUGCCUUUGAUACUGGUGAUCUUGAGUCCGGGAGAGGUGAGUGGAACUGCGAGUGUAGAGGUGAAAUUCGUAGAUAUUCGCAAGAACACCAGUGGCGAAGGCGGCUUUCUGGACAGAUACCGACGCUGAGGCACGAAAGCUAGGGGAGCAAACAGG
RNAcentral lists this ribosomal RNA (253 nucleotides) under uncultured bacterium. RNAcentral describes it as "partial 16S ribosomal RNA". It matches the Rfam family "Bacterial small subunit ribosomal RNA", at positions 524 to 776 of the family's 1533-position model. The record is from RNAcentral.